This 110-nucleotide transfer RNA is filed under the name Phaeoacremonium minimum UCRPA7. Its description in RNAcentral is "tRNA-Und (NNN) (tRNA-Und-NNN-5-1)". Lineage: Eukaryota; Fungi; Ascomycota; Sordariomycetes; Togniniales; Togniniaceae. The record is from RNAcentral.
CCCAGAUUGGUGUAGUGGUAGCACGUCCGGAGUCACCAGAAGAAGCCUACAGAGCGGACGCUGGCCCGUCGAAGGGGCGGAAGCGCCGGGUUCGAAUCUCGGAUCUGGGA